RNAcentral lists this ribosomal RNA (640 nucleotides) under Actinacidiphila glaucinigra. RNAcentral's name for it is "bacterial SSU rRNA". It matches the Rfam family "Bacterial small subunit ribosomal RNA", at positions 97 to 751 of the family's 1533-position model. The record is from RNAcentral. Lineage: Bacteria; Bacillati; Actinomycetota; Actinomycetes; Kitasatosporales; Streptomycetaceae.
GGCGAACGGGUGAGUAACACGUGGGCAAUCUGCCCUGCACUCUGGGACAAGCCCUGGAAACGGGGUCUAAUACCGGAUACGACCUUCCUCUGCAUGGGGGUUGGUGGAAAGCUCCGGCGGUGCAGGAUGAGCCCGCGGCCUAUCAGCUUGUUGGUGGGGUAAUGGCCUACCAAGGCGACGACGGGUAGCCGGCCUGAGAGGGCGACCGGCCACACUGGGACUGAGACACGGCCCAGACUCCUACGGGAGGCAGCAGUGGGGAAUAUUGCACAAUGGGCGAAAGCCUGAUGCAGCGACGCCGCGUGAGGGAUGACGGCCUUCGGGUUGUAAACCUCUUUCAGCAGGGAAGAAGCGAAAGUGACGGUACCUGCAGAAGAAGCACCGGCUAACUACGUGCCAGCAGCCGCGGUAAUACGUAGGGUGCGAGCGUUGUCCGGAAUUAUUGGGCGUAAAGAGCUCGUAGGCGGCCUGUCACGUCGGUUGUGAAAGCCCGGGGCUUAACCCCGGGUCUGCAGUCGAUACGGGCAGGCUAGAGUUCGGUAGGGGAGAUCGGAAUUCCUGGUGUAGCGGUGAAAUGCGCAGAUAUCAGGAGGAACACCGGUGGCGAAGGCGGAUCUCUGGGCCGAUACUGACGCUGAGG